RNAcentral lists this long non-coding RNA (5929 nucleotides) under Sus scrofa (pig). RNAcentral describes it as "lncRNA (ENSSSCG00000062783.1)". The record is from RNAcentral. Lineage: Eukaryota; Metazoa; Chordata; Mammalia; Artiodactyla; Suidae.
UUUUGAAGGUAGAGAAAAUAAACACAUGUGGUCAGUGUACCAUAUUUAAUCUGAAGUGUAGAUUUAAAUUGUAGUAAUGUGUAGGAAAUAAAAUUUCUCUAGCAUUAUUCUGUAAUUCAUUCUUUCCACUCUCUAAUGAUUUUUAAUUAAUAUGAUUUUACUGUACUACCUACCUCAUAGGGUUGUUGUGAGGAUUAGAAGAAUCAGUACAUAUGAAGCUAUUAGAACAGUGCCUGGCACAUAGUAUGCGUUAAUACAUAUUAGCUAUUAUUAAUAUUGUUUUCAUUAUUACCACUAUCACUUUUAAUUCAGUAACCUGUUUAGACUUGAGUAAAGAUGUUUUCACCAAAGGAAAAAUUAUUGAUAGAUGGGGAAAUCUGGAGUUUGAUAUCCCUGAUCCUACAUUUAACUAGACUUGAAAUGUUUAGGUGUUAAAUGCUUGACCUUACAUUUAACUAGACUUGAAAUGUUUAGGUGUUAAAUGUUUAGGUGUUAAAUGCUGACUCAGACACAUUAAAACCUUAAAAAUCCAAUCAUUGAUAGUUAAUCUAAAAGUUUUAUAAAAUAUGUAAUAACAAUUUUGAUGUACCUUUAAGCUUUAUUGGUAUUGUGUUUUAUUUUGAUCAUCUUAAUAUGAAGUAUAAAAGUCAAAACUAUGAGAUGAUGUUUACUGUGUCUUACAGCCACAGUAUUGAUAUUUACAGCCAGUAGAUUUGAUACUCUUUGAAUAUGUAGAGUAUGGGAGAGAUAGCAGACUCCAGUCACUGUACAAAGGUGUGAAUGUUUGUACACUUUUUAGAAAAUGUUGUGAACUUACAUGAAAAAGAAUGUCUGCCUUUGCUCAAUUAUUUUAAGUAUCUUCUUUGUGUCUUGAUUAAGAGCAUACGAUAACACUGAGUUCUAAUUCUUAGAGAUGAAAUGUGAGCAGGCCAACACUACUCUUCUUAUCAUUAGUGAGUUGCAUACUUUGGGGAAGGAGAUUCUAAUUUUAAGAUUUGCAUUCUCACUCAUUAGAGUUCCAUGGUUGUGACAAGUGGCUGUAAAUAUCAAUACCGCUCGAGAUGAGAAACUUUUAUGCAAAAGGAACGGUGAGUUGCUUAGCGUGAAUAAACCUCUUUGCAAAUUACCAGGCUGACUUUAGUAGGACAGAUGAAACAGGUAGACAUGGCCAGGAUCAAAAGGUACCUGCUAUUAGCUUAAUGCCGGCAUUUCCCCAUCCCUAGAUGUGAAUAUAUUGUCUUUACUUCGUCCUCUUAUUGUUUGCUUUUCUCUUUCUUCUUUGGGACUUUAAUGUUUACAUCUUUGGAACCCUUAUGCUGCCUCUUCUCCAAAUGCAGCAAUAGCUAAUCUACCAUAUUUUCAUAGGAUGGAAUUUCCCCUUUCUGUCCCAUAAUGCGUUCCCCUUCCCUCAAAAUAGUCUUUUGUUGGUUUCUUUGAUGAUAAAACACUUAAUAUGGGCCAGUUGCUUUACCUCAGUUUAGCCUCAUAACAAAGAUGUUAAAGUACAAGAAUACAAGAGCAACCGAGAUACACAGAAACAGGAUUAACUCACAUGUGAUUGAUUAGAAUGAUAAAGGUUUUACUAUAAUCCUGAAACACUAAGCCUUUAAGUCAUGUCUUCAUUUAAUAUUUUAGAUCAUAUACUUCUGGACUAGUGUUAGUUCUUGAUUAAAUAACCCAGGAUUUAUAAAACCCAGAAUUUAUGGACAGGAGGAUUACUUUUUUUUUUUUUUUUUUUUUUGUCUUUUUGCCAUUUCUUGGGCUGCACUCGCGGCACAUGGAGGUUCCCAGGCUAGGGGUCUAAUUGGAGCUGUAGCUGCCGGCCUACGCCAGAGCCAUAGCAACUGAGGGAUCCAAGCUGCGUCUGCGACCUACACCACAGCUCACUGCAACGCCGGAUCCUUCACCCACUGAGCAAGGCCAGGGAUCGAACCCACAACCUCAUGGUUCUUAGUCGGCUUCGUUAACCACUGUGCCAUGACGGGAACUCUAGGAGGAUUACAUUUUGAUUAAUUAUGAUAUACAAGUGAAUUAAUGAACAGGAAUAUUACCAAAUUAAGCAAUUCCUUUGACAUCGGUGAGGGCUAAUGUUUCAGAAUAUCGAAGAUGAAUAAAAUAUAUGACUCUAAUGAAUUUCCUCCCUAGUUUUAUUCUGUCAGUGUGAGUGGAGGAUGCUGCUUUCAAAAGCUGUGCUUUUGAAAGUUGUUAUAAAGACUGUUUGACCCACUUAUAUCUCAAUAUAAAGUAUAUUAUGAUCAGAUUUGGUAGCGUGGGGACAGUUAGGAACAAAGGAGAGAGAAUAGUGUCGUGAAGACAUCCAUGGCCGCCAGGAGAUUUCCCACCCUCUCUUGGUAUUAGUAGCCAGAGGUGGUCAUUUUGGAUGUGAGGUACUAAUUUAGGAAUGAAGAGUAAGGGGUUAUGUGUCAUGAAAAGUAAGGUUUCUAAGAAAGUGUUUCAUUCCCACUUAAGUGCUGUUACCUCUCUCUCCCAGCACUCUGGACUUCACACUCAGAGAGCUAGGUUAUUUCCCACCCAUCUUUUGUUUUAUUUUUUUUAAAGCAAUAUCUGAAUAUGUUCUCUUUAUUAAGUUAUCAUCUAGAUAGUGUGAAUAAAGUGAAAGUUCAACUUGACACUCCCAUUCCCUGGGAUAACCACUCUCUGGUGUGUAUCCUUCCAACAAGGUGGUUUAGUAAAGAGUGGCCCAUCUAUGUGAUAUGGCUGCUAGUAAAGGACGAGGUGACUCCACAUAUUUUUACAAGUAUUUUUCGUGUGUGACAGCAUAAUUCUGACCUUGGCCAUUGUGACCUGGUAGGCAUUCCAGCUCUUUUAUUUUCUUUUUAACCUCUAUGCAAAGAACCACGUGUAUUGAUGGCUUUUUUAGAUAGCUAGAAUGAGGCCAUUUUCUUUUGAAAGACAAUGCUGGAAUUUCAAGUACUUUUCUCUAAUUGUGUGAGUGUGUGUGCAUGCAGUUCUGUAUGUGUGGUUUCCUAGUUGUGGACAAAGCAACUUGGAACCAUUUUGUCUUGAGAGAGAGCUUUAUGUUUAGUUCUACUAUUAUUUGAUUUUACAAGUUUAGCCACAAAGGAUAAAAUAAGUAUGCUGUAGAAGCUACCGUGACUGGGUCAGAAUACAAUUGUGGAGUUUUGUUUGUUUGUUUGUUUGCUUGGUAGCAAUCAAAAGUACAGCCCAGAUUUCUGUCUUGGAAUGUGUACGUGUUUACAUGAGUGAAAACUUCAUUCAACAAAUUUAUAUGGUAAAUGAUAUACCAUAAAUACCUUUUAAGUCUUAUACCAGGGUCAGACUUUGUACUUGAAUUAAAUAGGCAAUUUCUAUUCUAUGCCCUUUUCCUGUGGUAUUUGUGGUUGCUAGGUUGUACAAAUGUUUCACAUGCUUUCAGAAUUGGCAUACCCAGAUGACUGUUGGUGCCCGUUGCCAUGAUGCCCCAUCCUGAGUGAGGCCUUAGAAUACAGGUCCCAUAUACAACUCCUGUUUGACUUUAUUAUUUUGUUUGUUUUCUUGUUUUGCAAUUGUUAGCCGGUGAGAAGUGUGUGUCAGUAAAUACCUCAUGUUUAACAUACAUGACCAUUGGCAAACUAUCUUUUUGGUUUUUUUUCCUUUUGUGUCAACUCUGCCCAGUUAGUUGUGGCUUCUGGGGGUUUUGAGUUUGAGGCUAGGAUCAGCAGAGAAUGGCUGUUGAUUAAUGAUGCUUGCUGUGGGCUUGGUGGGAGAGUGUGGGAAUGAUAGCAAAGCUAUUAUGUCAUCCAGAAUAUAGGGCAAUGAUUAUGGUCUCACUUUACAGAACUUUGCCAGAUUACAUUUUUAAGCACUCACAGUAAACGAAGUUGAACAACUCAUAAUCGAUUCCCUGUUUUUAGUUUCCACUAUCACAAGCGUAUGAACUUAAUUAUAUGUAUGUGUGUGUGUAUAUAUAUGUGUGUUCAUGUGUGUAUUUACAUUUAUGGCUGCACCCGUGGCAUACGGAAGUUCCCAGGCCAGGAACUGAAUCUGAGCUGCAGCUGUGGCAACGCUGGAUCCUUUAAUCCAGUGUGCCUGGCCGAGGAUCAAACCCAUGACUGUAAAGACCCAAGCCACUACAGUUGGAUUCUUAACCCACUGUGCCACAGCAGGAACUCCUCGUGUGUAUAUAUAUUUUUAAAUGGAAACAAAAAUAACCCCUCAUCUCUCUGUUUAGGCCAAGCAUACAUGUGUGCGUGAGUAGAGCACACCAUUCACCUACUAGCAGUGCCUUUGUAGACUUGAAGAUCUUUGCAACCUCGCCAUGGUGCUCAGGAUGAAAAACAGUGCCAUACGUUUAAAAAAAUUUUUUAAGUAUAAUUUUAGCAAGUGAAAUGCAAUAGCAUACCGGUGCUUUGCAUAAGUCACCUUUUGCAUUUAAAUCACUCUUAGUGUUCACUUGAGAGAAGAGUUUCAUAGUUCAUUUGCGGUUUGGGGUAGGUAGUGAACCUCUUAGACAGGUUGCCCUUCUUUUUGCUGUUUUUGAAAAACACAGUUCACGGCUUUUGAGGGGAAAAUGUACAGAUUGCAAGUUUUCUUUCUUGUUUUUGUGUGUGUCCUUAAAUUUGGCUUGAGUCAGGAAGCCUAGCAAAAUGUACCUAACAGUGACCUAUCAUUUUAUGUCUUCAUAACAGUUUCUUUUGGGGGGACACACGGCUUCCUUAACUAUAACGUUUGCAUCUGUCACUUUCAGUUUGGAUACCUGCAGGUGCUUUUCUUUCUUUGGGGGGAAUCAUGAAGGGAGUAAGGGAAUAGGUAUAAUUUUAGGUGAUGUUUUUAAAUUCAUUACUAGCUUGAUCUAGAAAAAAUAAAAGACUCAUGUGAUUUUUGGUUUUUUGCCCUCUUGUCAAAAUUCUGUAUGUCCGCCCAACCUUUCCUUUUUUAUCAGCUCUGAAUGGCUGCAUGUUAUAAAAAUCAUGGUUGAAUGUUAUAAAAAUCAUGGUUGACUGUUAAGUUUGUUUCUAAGAGCUUUUCAAUAUUGUCUGUAAUUAGCCAAAGAGAAAAUCAUAUGAACUUUUUCAGUUUUAACUUUAUUUUUUUUCCUUCUUACUCUGUCUUUUUCUCUAUUUUUUAAUGGCUCAAACAAAGUUGAAGUUUUUUUUAUUUAGAUGAGGUAUAAUUGAUAUGUAACAUAUUAGUUGCAGGUGUACAACAGAAUUCAAUAUUUGUAAUUUUUUCUCCAGUUUUGAUUGAUGAUCAUAGAGCCUCCCAAAAUAGCCUCCUUAGUAUCUCUGUAUUUGGUAGACUCUUUUGGAAAAGAAAAGAAUCACUUGGGGAGGAUAGGAGUUAUAGGGGGCAUCUAAAUUUAAGAUAGUUUAUAUAUUUAUUCACAAUUUUUUGUUUAGUCAGUAUUCAUUUACUACUUACUAAGUGCUGUGUUGCUAGUAUUCAUCUUUGCUUUCUAAUUCUCCAGCUUACUCAAAACUCACUGCUUUAUUUUUAAUAGUUUAGAUAAAUUGACUAAUUAUAGUUGGCUUUCCUAAAUUUUCACUUUUUUCAUUUAAUUAGUUGAAUCAUACUAAUGAUUCACAUUUGCAUACUAACAUAAAUAAGAAAGCAUUAGGAAAUGACUGUUUUUAAAUAGCUUUUUCUUUGUGUGUAUAAAUAUUUUUGAAAACAUAAACAUGGUUUUUUUUGCCAUUUAAAUGUCUUUAUUUUUGGUUAGUUGUCACUAAUACAUAUAAUGUUUCUUACAACAGGAAUUUGUGAGUUUUUAAAUGAAUAAUUUGUAACUUUAGAAGUUGAAUAAAUUGGAAGUAUUGAAACUGAUAGAAAGCCUAGCCUUGAAAUAAAUCUAGGAAACUAUUAUCAAAAAUGGCUUUGGAUUGAUAUAACUAAGUACUUUAAUUUUGAAACAUUUUCAGAAUAGGACUUUUAUUCCCAGGAAAAAAUAAACUUCAUUAAAAAGUUUAUG